GUAUUUGUUUUAGACCGCCCCCCGACCGCGAGGUCGAACGACGAUCGUGAUACAUUCUAGACAUACGACGUGUGUGAUGAUUAAAGACAUAGAUCCUCUUUCGAGGACCUACAAUGUGUGCACAGGUGUGAGAGUAAGAGAAAGGUGGACGUGCACGGCCGAAGCCAGCGACAGUCCGCCUCCCCUCGAAGUUCGAUAAUGAUCCUUCCGCAGGUUCACCUACGGAAA
RNAcentral lists this unclassified non-coding RNA (228 nucleotides) under uncultured fungus. RNAcentral describes it as "sequence contains ITS1". The record is from RNAcentral. Lineage: Eukaryota; Fungi.